Schizothecium vesticola is the source of this 103-nucleotide non-coding RNA. Lineage: Eukaryota; Fungi; Ascomycota; Sordariomycetes; Sordariales; Schizotheciaceae. The record is from the annotation of a GenBank genome assembly.
AGACAACUAGUAUAGUGGUCAGUACACUUCGUUGUGGCUCAUGUCCCCAGACAUUGAGACAUCCCCGAAGAAACAAACCCAGGUUCGAUUCCUGGGUUGCCCA